CAAAGGAAUUGACGGGGCCGCACAAGCGGUGGAGCAUGUGGUUAAUUCGACGCAACGCGAAGAACCUUACCUGGGCUUGACAUCCCGAUCGCACCUUAUGGAACAUAGGGGUCAGUUCGGCUGGAUCGGUGACAGGUGCUGCAUGGCUGUCGUCAGCUCGUGUCGUGAGAUGUUGGGUUAAGUCCCGCAACGAGCGCAACCCUUGCCCUUAGUUGCCAGCAUUCAGUUGGGCGCUCUAAGGAGACUGCCGGUGUCAAACCGGAGGAAGGUGGGGAUGACGUCAAGUCCUCAUGGCCCUUAUGUCCAGGGCUACACACGUGCUACAAUGGCCGGUACAAAGGGGCGCAAGACCGCGAGGUGGAGCAAAUCCCAAAAAACCGGUCUCAGUUCGGAUUGGAGUCUGCAACUCGACUCCAUGAAGUUGGAAUCGCUAGUAAUCGCGUAUCAGCAUGACGCGGUCGAAUACGUUCCCGGGCCUU
Molecule: ribosomal RNA, 479 nt
Filed under: uncultured Desulfuromonas sp.
Lineage: Bacteria; Pseudomonadati; Thermodesulfobacteriota; Desulfuromonadia; Desulfuromonadales; Desulfuromonadaceae
Description: bacterial SSU rRNA
Rfam family: Bacterial small subunit ribosomal RNA
Source: RNAcentral